This 1447-nucleotide long non-coding RNA is filed under the name Homo sapiens (human). RNAcentral's name for it is "HSALNT0246293". The record is from RNAcentral. Lineage: Eukaryota; Metazoa; Chordata; Mammalia; Primates; Hominidae.
GCGGGGCAGGCGUGGGUGCACCCAGACCCCCCAACCCUGAUGUCCCCAAUACCAAGGGCAGAGAGCAGCCCUGGCCGGUCCUUGGAGGAUGCGGGCGCCGAGGGGGCCGGGGUCAGUCGGUUCAGAGUCGGAGCAUAAGCCCGGUGGCCGAGUCGGCCGGGUGGUGGGGCGCCGGGGGGGCCGGAGCCGGGCAGGGCAGUGACCCGCUUGCCGGGGUCAAAGUCGCCAGUGUGGGCCGCGGAAGAGGAGCGGCCAGGCGGGGCGCAGACACCCCUCACCCCAUCCUGGGCCGCGCCGGUGCCACCGGGCAGUCCUCGGGGCAGGAGCCCACCGAGGGGAGACAGCGCUGGAAGCCUCCCCUCCGGCAUCUCCAAUCCAUCUCUGGGUCCUGCUCCACCUGCAUUUCCCUAGACCUGUCCUGGCCACCCUCACCCUGGGACACCUCCUGCCCGUGGAGAGCUCCUCUGAUAGGUGCCGUCCUUGGUCUUGGGGGUCCUUUCUCCCUAAUUCUACUUCUGUUUUGGGGGCGUGGGAACCCAGGGUCUUAACCCCAGCCAUUCCCCCUCCCAGGGGCCACUUCCCUCUGAAGCUUAGCCCAGCUCUGUGACCCCCACAGGCCUGCCCCCACCUGGUCCUCACUCCCCUGCAUAGCCACACUGUGGGGGCUCCAUGCUUCCCAGCCCAUAGGAAGCCCUGUUCCCAGAGGGGGCCAUUCUGUUUUAGUUGGAGCAGUGGCCAGAGGCAAAGGUCAGAAGGCAAAGGUCAUAAAAGUUUGUCUCUACCUGCCAGCAUCUGCUCCUGCUACUGCAUCUUCUCCCCUCUCCACCCAAACCCUCCCUCAGCUCCUGCCCCCACCUCUCCAGAGGCACAGACAACAGGGUUCUGAUCUUGGGUCAUGGUGCUCCCCCUGCCAGCCUCAGUCCGAGACCUCUGUGAAUGGCGGUGAUGGCUAAUGGGAUGAGGGGGACCACCUCCUGGUGGCUGCAGGGACUGGGGUGAGGGUGCUGUAGGCUCUGCCUAAGUCAAGUGCCAUGGGGCUGAAGAGACGGCGCACCGGCCCUGGAGAAGAGUCCUCCCUGCCCUCCUGUGUCUGGCCUUGUUUCCUGGAGGACAGGUCCCCACGGGGCAGAGGCCCAGCAGUCCCAGGGUCCUCAGCUUCCACCACCCCCAGGCGACGUCUGCUCACCCUGGCUGCCCGCAGCAAGAUUCCUGUUAUCUGGGUAGAGUCCUCAGCCUCCGCCACCCCCAGGCGAUGUCUGCUCACCUUGCCUGCCUUAAGCAAGAUUCCUGUUACCUGGGUUCCUUAGCCUCUGCCACCUCCAGGCCGUGUCUGCUAACCCUGUCUGCCGUCAGCAAGCUUCAUUUUACCUGGGUAGGGUUCUCAGCCUCCGCCACCCCCAGGCGAUGUCUGCUAACCCUGCCUGCCCUCAGCAAGCUUCCUGUUUCC